CUGGUUGAUCCUGCCGGCGGUCACCGCUCUUGGAAUCCGACUAAGCCAUGCGAGUCGAGAGGGUUCGGCCCUCGGCGAACUGCUCAGUAACACGUGGAUAACCUAACCUGAAGCGGGGGAUAAUCUCGGAAAACUGAGGAUAAUACCCCAUAGGUCUUCGAUACUGGAAUGUUCCUAGGCUGAAAGCCAAGGCGCUUCAGGAUGGGUCUGCGGCCUAUCAGGUUGUAGUGAGUGUAAAGGACUCACUAGCCGACGACGGGUACGGGCCAUGGGAGUGGUAGCCCGGAGAUGGACUCUGAGACACGAGUCCAGGCCCUACGGGGCGCAGCAGGCGCGAAAACUUCGCAAUGCGCGGAAGCGCGACGAGGGGAUUCCAAGUGCAUGCACUCUGUGUAUGCUGUUUACUAGUCUAAAACGCUAGUAGAGUAAGGGCUGGGUAAGACUGGUGCANGCCGCCGCGGUAAUACCAGCGGGCCCUAGGUGGUGAGUCGUUAUUAUGUGGGCCUAAAGCGUCCGUAAGCCGGUCCGGUAAAUCUCUGGGGUAAAUCGUUGGGCUUAACUCAACGAAUNUCUGGGGAGACUGCCGGACUUGGAACCCGGANANAGGUCGGAGGACUCNCGGGGGAUAGGGGUGAAAUCCUGUAAAUCUUGGGGGAGCGCCCGNNUGGGCAAGGGCGCCNNACCANAAACGGGUCCCGACGGGUAGGGGACGAAAGCCCUGGGGCG
Molecule: ribosomal RNA, 726 nt
Filed under: uncultured archaeon
Lineage: Archaea
Description: bacterial SSU rRNA
Rfam family: Archaeal small subunit ribosomal RNA
Source: RNAcentral